RNAcentral lists this ribosomal RNA (465 nucleotides) under Vreelandella stevensii. RNAcentral's name for it is "partial 16S ribosomal RNA". It matches the Rfam family "Bacterial small subunit ribosomal RNA", at positions 338 to 795 of the family's 1533-position model. The record is from RNAcentral. Lineage: Bacteria; Pseudomonadati; Pseudomonadota; Gammaproteobacteria; Oceanospirillales; Halomonadaceae.
CCUACGGGCGGCUGCAGUGGGGAAUAUUGGACAAUGGGGGGAACCCUGAUCCAGCCAUGCCGCGUGUGUGAAGAAGGCCCUCGGGUUGUAAAGCACUUUCAGUGAGGAAGAACGCCUGGUGGUUAAUACCCAUCAGGAAAGACAUCACUCACAGAAGAAGCACCGGCUAACUCCGUGCCAGCAGCCGCGGUAAUACGGAGGGUGCGAGCGUUAAUCGGAAUUACUGGGCGUAAAGCGCGCGUAGGUGGCUUGAUAAGCCGGUUGUGAAAGCCCCGGGCUCAACCUGGUAACGGCAUCCGGAACUGUCAAGCUAGAGUGCAGGAGAGGAAGGUAGAAUUCCCGGUGUAGCGGUGAAAUGCGUAGAGAUCGGGAGGAAUACCAGUGGCGAAGGCGGCAUUCUGGACUGAUACUGACACUGAGGUGCGAAAGCGUGGGUAGCAAACAGGAUUAGAUACCCGAGUAGUC